Molecule: non-coding RNA, 838 nt
Organism: Petromyzon marinus (sea lamprey)
Lineage: Eukaryota; Metazoa; Chordata; Hyperoartia; Petromyzontiformes; Petromyzontidae
Source: RefSeq, a predicted model, not a curated record
CGCGGCACGCGGUCCGAACAAAGGUGUAGGUACACGCACGAGAGGUGUAGGUACACGUAAGAGAGGUGUAGGUACACGUAAGAGAGGUGUAGGUACACGUAAGAGAGGUGUAGGUAGACGCACGAGAGGUGUAGGUACACGUAAGAGAGGUGUAGGUACACGCACGAGAGGUGUAGGUACACGCACGAGAGGUGUAGGUACACGCACGAGAGGUGUAGGUACACGCACGAGAGGUGUAGGUACACGCACGAGAGGUGUAGGUACACGCACGAGAGGUGUAGGUAAACGCACGAGAGGUGUAGAUACACGCACGAGAGGUGUAGGUACACGCACGAGAGGUGUAGGUACACGCACGAGAGGUGUAGGUACACGCACGAGAGGUGUAGGUACACGUAAGAGAGGUGUAGGUACACGUAAGAGAGGUGUAGGUACACGUAAGAGAGGUGUAGGUACACGCACGAGAGGUGUAGGUACACGUAAGAGAGGUGUAGGUACACGCACGAGAGGUGUAGGUACACGCACGAGAGGUGUAGGUACACGCACGAGAGGUGUAGGUACACGCACGAGAGGUGUAGGUACACGCACGAGAGGUGUAGGUACACGCACGUGAGGUUGUAGGUACACGUAAGAGAGGUGUAGGUACACGCACGAGAGGUGUAGGUAUACGUAAGAGAGGUGUAGGUACACGUAAGAGAGGUGUAGGUACACGUAAGAGAGGUGUAGGUACACGCACGAGAGGUGUAGGUACACGCACGAGAGGUGUAGGUACACGCACGAGAGGUGUAGGUACACGUAAGAGAGGUGUAGGUACACGUAAGAGAGGUGUAGGUACACGUCA